RNAcentral lists this ribosomal RNA (496 nucleotides) under uncultured bacterium. RNAcentral describes it as "partial 16S ribosomal RNA". It matches the Rfam family "Bacterial small subunit ribosomal RNA", at positions 29 to 507 of the family's 1533-position model. The record is from RNAcentral.
AUGAACGCUGGCGGCGUGCCUAAUACAUGCAAGUCGAGCGAACAGAUGAGGAUCUUGCUCCUCUGACGUUAGCGGCGGACGGGUGAGUAACACGUGGAUAACCUACCUAUAAGACUGGGAUAACUUCGGGAAACCGGAGCUAAUACCGGAUAAUAUAUUGAACCGCAUGGUUCAAUAGUGAAAGUCGGUUUUGCUGUCACUUAUAGAUGGAUCCGCGCCGCAUUAGCUAGUUGGUAAGGUAACGGCUUACCAAGGCCACGAUGCGUAGCCGAACUGAGAGGGUGAUCGGACACACUGGAACUGAGACACGGUCCAGACUCCUACGGGAGGCAGCAGUAGGGAAUCUUCCGCAAUGGGCGAAAGCCUGACGGAGCAACGCCGCGUGAGUGAUGAAGGUCUUCGGAUCGUAAAACUCUGUUAUUAGGGAAGAACAAAUGUGUAAGUACCUAUGCACGUCUUGACGGUACCUAAUCAGAAAGCCACGGCUAACUACGUG